UUCCGUAGGGGGGACCUGCGGAAGGAUCAUUACCGAGUGAGGGCCCUCUGGGUCCAACCUCCCACCCGUGUUUAUUUUACCUUGUUGCUUCGGCGGGCCCGCCUUAACUGGCCGCCGGGGGGCUUACGCCCCCGGGCCCGCGCCCGCCGAAGACACCCUCGAACUCUGUCUGAAGAUUGUAGUCUGAGUGAAAAUAUAAAUUAUUUAAAACUUUCAACAACGGAUCUCUUGGUUCCGGCAUCGAUGAAGAACGCAGCGAAAUGCGAUACGUAAUGUGAAUUGCAAAUUCAGUGAAUCAUCGAGUCUUUGAACGCACAUUGCGCCCCCUGGUAUUCCGGGGGGCAUGCCUGUCCGAGCGUCAUUGCUGCCCUCAAGCACGGCUUGUGUGUUGGGCCCCGUCCUCCGAUCCCGGGGGACGGGCCCGAAAGGCAGCGGCGGCACCGCGUCCGGUCCUCGAGCGUAUGGGGCUUUGUCACCCGCUCUGUAGGCCCGGCCGGCGCUUGCCGAUCAACCCAAAUUUUUAUCCAGGUUGACCUCGGAUCAGGUAGGGAUACCCGCUGAACUUAAGCAUAUCAAUAAACGAAAA
RNAcentral lists this ribosomal RNA (586 nucleotides) under Penicillium chrysogenum. Its description in RNAcentral is "eukaryotic LSU rRNA". The stretch from base 209 to 361 matches the Rfam family "5.8S ribosomal RNA". The record is from RNAcentral. Lineage: Eukaryota; Fungi; Ascomycota; Eurotiomycetes; Eurotiales; Aspergillaceae.